UUUGCCUAAACCCCUGUGUCCCUACCUGGAAGCCCUCCACGGUGGACUGGGUUUUCAUCCUCGAUGUGCAGGCCCAGCCGCCAAAGCUCCCUCGUCUGAGCUGUUAACUCUGGAGUCUGGAAAACCUGGGCUCCACCUCCACACGCUGCCUUUUACAGCCCUGUGGAUCUGUCACAACACUUACUGGCCCCAGUUACACCUGAGCAGAAAGGGCAGCUCAUCUCCCUCAACGAGUACAAACAUCUACAGGAGCAGAAGCUUUUCUCAUGCUUGAGUGGCUCCAUACAUCUUCUCUGUGAGUUUUCCUUCAAACCUGGAGACUGGAAUCCUCAUCUGUCUACAGACCCACCAAGCCGAUGAGACACCCACAACCUAAAAUCCUCAAGAUUAUCCACGCACUGUGAUGACUGCCUUCUAGCGUAAUCUCUUUAUGUUGGGAUGGUCUUGAGGUCUUUAUAGAUCCAGCCUCAAAGCACUUAGAAUUCCAAGCAUCAGGUAUCUGUUGUGCUUGUUCACGAGCAGUUUGUGAUUCUGAAGCUGGACCAGAACCACCCAAGGCAUCUGCUGAAUUUGCGUUACUGGCACAAGUCCCACUGCUCUGCCAUGUAAUGGGCCAGUUAGUUCGAGAGACCAGGCGUUCACGCAAGGAAGGCAACUUUAUUUGAAAAGCAGGCUCAGUGAAAAGAUGGGGGACUCUUGUCCAGAGUUCAUCUGACCAGGAAGCUGAUUCAGGAAUAGUUUAUUUUGGCAGUUGACGGCUGUUACCAGACUGGGGUUGGCUUCUCACUGUGGAUGGUGAGAUGCACAUCUGAUCCCAAUGGGCUAGUGGGCUGCUGCUUUUCAGUUCUGUACUUCUCAAGAACAAAGAUGGUUAUUUCCUCAGGCUAUGCUUAUCACAGAUUCAGUCACCCUUGGACAGACCAGAGGGUACAGCUUUCCUGAGGCUCUCUUCCUGAUCACCAAACUCUGAUGAUAAUGGAGAAAGCACUUCACUCAAAGGUGUUACAGUGGUGGGGACUGAACUCAAGGCCUCAUACAUGGUAGUGUGGAGGCCAUGGGCCUGGAAGAAAAUCCACGUGGAACAACUGCAAAUCCUCAGAACUGCCCAGAAAACCCUCAGAAUUGGGAGAAACAAAAAUCCAAUGUUUCUGAAGCCACUACACAUGGAGGCAAGAGAGACUGCUUUUCCCAUUGCUUGAAAGGGAGACUGACUUGCCCAUGACUCUGCCAGAUCCGGUGUGUUCACCCUACAAGGUGAGCUCCAGUUGUUCACAGAACACAGACCUUGGAAGCUUGAGGAGUUGUGCUCUUCCAUUUCAGUACAGCAGAAUUUGCACACUUUCACAGCACAAACACAGCUUUUGGAUCACAGCUCCUGGGAACUGCAUGGGGUCCGCUGGAUGGUGAAGACAUCCUGCCAU
This is a long non-coding RNA of Fukomys damarensis (Damara mole-rat), 1421 nucleotides long. RefSeq lists it as uncharacterized. The record is from RefSeq and is a predicted model, not a curated record. Lineage: Eukaryota; Metazoa; Chordata; Mammalia; Rodentia; Bathyergidae. The transcript is spliced from 5 exons.